GACGAACGCUGGCGGCGUGCUUAACACAUGCAAGUCGAACGGAAAGGCCCUGCUUUUGUGGGGUGCUCGAGUGGCGAACGGGUGAGUAACAAGUGAGUAACCUGCCCUUGACUUUGGGAUAACUUCAGGAAACUGGGGCUAAUACCGGAUAGGAGCUCCUGCUGCAUGGUGGGGGUUGGAAAGUUUCGGCGGGUGGGGAUGGACUCGCGGCUUAUCAGCUUGUUGGUGGGGUAGUGGCUUACCAAGGCAUUGCCGGGUAGCCGGCAUGAGAGGGUGACCGGCCACAUUGGGACUGAGAUACGGCCCAGACUCCUACGGGAGGCAGCAGUGGGGAAUAUUGCACAAUGGGCGGAAGCCUGAUGCAGCAACGCCGCGUGCGGGAUGACGGCCUUCGGGUUGUAAACCGCUUUCGCCUGUGACGAAGCGUGAGUGACGGUAAUGGGUAAAGAAGCACCGGCUAACUACGUG
RNAcentral lists this ribosomal RNA (468 nucleotides) under uncultured bacterium. Its description in RNAcentral is "partial 16S ribosomal RNA". It matches the Rfam family "Bacterial small subunit ribosomal RNA", at positions 28 to 507 of the family's 1533-position model. The record is from RNAcentral.